AGUACCUACGGGAGGCAGCAGUGAGGAAGAUUGGUCAAUGACCGGAAGGCUGAACCAGCCAAGCCGCGUGAAGGACGAAGGUGCCAAGCAUUGUAAACUUCUUUUGUCAAGGGACAAAAUCAGGCUCGAGAGCCUGACCGAGGGUACUUGAAGAAAAAGCAUCGGCUAACUCCGUGCCAGCAGCCGCGGUACUACGGAGGAUGCGAGCGUUAUCCGGAUUUAUUGGGUUUAAAGGGUGCGUAGGCGGACUGUUAAGUCAGCGGUAAGAGUCCGGGGCUCAACCCCGGCGAGCCGUUGAAACUGGU
Molecule: ribosomal RNA, 305 nt
Filed under: uncultured bacterium
Lineage: Bacteria
Description: bacterial SSU rRNA
Rfam family: Bacterial small subunit ribosomal RNA
Source: RNAcentral